UACGAAGGGGACUAGCGUUGUUCGGAUUCAUUGGGCGUAAAGGGUGCGUAGGUGGCGUGGUAAGUCGGGUGUGAAAUUUCGGAGCUUAACUCCGAAACUGCAUUCGAUACUGCUGUGCUUGAGGACUGGAGAGGAGACUGGAAUUUACGGUGUAGCAGUGAAAUGCGUAGAGAUCGUAAGGAAGACCAGUGGCGAAGGCGGGUCUCUGGACAGUUCCUGACACUGAGGCACGAAGGCCAGGGGAGCAAACGGG
Molecule: ribosomal RNA, 253 nt
Filed under: uncultured bacterium
Lineage: Bacteria
Description: partial 16S ribosomal RNA
Rfam family: Bacterial small subunit ribosomal RNA
Source: RNAcentral